UUCUGGAAUUCUGUGUGAGGGA
RNAcentral lists this microRNA (22 nucleotides) under Homo sapiens (human). RNAcentral's name for it is "hsa-miR-1299". Lineage: Eukaryota; Metazoa; Chordata; Mammalia; Primates; Hominidae. The record is from miRBase by way of RNAcentral.